CUCUAAUCUCGGUUGUGUUUGGUGUACCUCAUUUAUUGAUGAGAUUUUAGGACUCAGUACAUCAUUUUUUCUGCAAUAUCUGUAUUCGAAUUACAUGCUGUAAUCAUGGGCAGUUUAAUUUCUCUGAUGGUCAUCAAACUUAUCAUUGAUUUCAACAUGUUCACUAAGUUUCAAACUUUAUCAAUAAAAUUGCUUAACUUUAAUUUCUGUUUUAAGUCACUGUUGCUAGAUCUUGGUAGAAUUUCAGCCAUAUUUUUUACAUGAUAACCAAGUCAAGUUUUUUCAGUAUAGUUUUAUGGACUGUAGUGCUGUCAUACUUGGUAACAAGUUAUUACAUAGAAAAAUUUGGCUAAAUCUCUACAAAAACUAGCAAUAGCGACCUUAAUGAAACAAAACAAAGGGGGAGUAAUUUUGCUAAUAUAAAUUGAAAUUCAGUUGCGAUACUGAGAUUUGGUGAUAAGUUUAAUGACUGGGUGAAAUUAUUUACUUCUCUGUCUUGUAUGUGUCUGCUGCGCAUACGUGAUUUCAGUGACAAUAGUAGCUAACAUUUGACAGGAUUGAAUUUAUCUGUCCAUUGCUUGAAUGUUUAAACUUACAUGUGUUUGUAUCAAUUUUUAAUUGUUAUUUGCUCGGAUUCAUGACAUCAUGUGCAGAUUGGAGAGGACAAGGAUCUU
This 674-nucleotide unclassified non-coding RNA is filed under the name Hevea brasiliensis (rubber tree). Lineage: Eukaryota; Viridiplantae; Streptophyta; Magnoliopsida; Malpighiales; Euphorbiaceae. The record is from RNAcentral.